This 97-nucleotide transfer RNA is filed under the name Candidatus Woesearchaeota archaeon. RNAcentral describes it as "tRNA-OTHER". It matches the Rfam family "tRNA". From Rfam's summary of the family: Transfer RNA (tRNA) molecules are approximately 80 nucleotides in length. Their secondary structure includes four short double-helical elements and three loops (D, anti-codon, and T loops). Further hydrogen bonds mediate the characteristic L-shaped molecular structure. tRNAs have two regions of fundamental functional importance: the anti-codon, which is responsible for specific mRNA codon recognition, and the 3' end, to which the tRNAs corresponding amino acid is attached (by aminoacyl-tRNA synthetases). tRNAs cope with the degeneracy of the genetic code in two manners: having more than one tRNA (with a specific anti-codon) for a particular amino acid; and 'wobble' base-pairing, i.e. permitting non-standard base-pairing at the 3rd anti-codon position. Lineage: Archaea; Nanobdellati; Candidatus Woesearchaeota. The record is from RNAcentral.
GGGGCUGUGGCUCAACCUGGUUAGAGCACAGGCCUCGCAUAUCGAGAGUAUAGAAAUAUACCUAUAAAGGUUCGCAGUUCAAAUCUGCGCAGCCCCA